This 87-nucleotide transfer RNA is filed under the name Paractinoplanes rishiriensis. RNAcentral's name for it is "Actinoplanes rishiriensis tRNA-His". Lineage: Bacteria; Bacillati; Actinomycetota; Actinomycetes; Micromonosporales; Micromonosporaceae. The record is from RNAcentral.
UCGGCGUUGGUGCGGCCGUGCUGUCGCCGCUGUGGCCGGCGGGGGCCGAGUUCGUGGCCUGGCUGGGGCACUGGCCGGCCCGCUGGC